This 245-nucleotide ribosomal RNA is filed under the name uncultured bacterium. RNAcentral describes it as "partial 16S ribosomal RNA". It matches the Rfam family "Bacterial small subunit ribosomal RNA", at positions 524 to 768 of the family's 1533-position model. The record is from RNAcentral.
UACGUAGGGGGCGAGCGUUAUCCGGAAUCAUUGGGCGUAAAGGGCGCGUAGGUGGUGAUGUAAGUCGGAUGUGAAACCGCUGGGCUCAACUCAGCGCCUGCAUUCGAAACUGCAUUGCUUGAGUACAGGAGAGGAAGGCGGAAUUCCCAGUGUAGCGGUGAAAUGCUUAGAUAUUGGGAAGAACACCGGUGGCGAAGGCGGCCUUCUGGACUGUUACUGACACUGAGGCGCGAAAGCCAGGGGAG